CCUACGGGGUGCAGCAGUGAGGAAUAUUGGUCAAUGGGCGUGAGCCUGAACCAGCCAAGUCGCGUGAAGGAAGAAGGUGCUAUGGAUCGUAAACCUCUUUUAUAAGGGAAUAAAGUGUGGGACGUGUCCUGUUUUGUAUGUACCUGAUGAAUAAGAAUCGGCUAACUCCGUGCCAGCAGCCGCGGUAAUACGGAGGAUCCGAGCGUUAUCCGGAUUUAUUGGGUUUAAAGGGUGCGUAGGCGGCCUUUUAAGUCAGCGGUGAAAGUCUGUGGCUCAACCAUAGACUGGCCGUUGAAACUGGGAGGCUUGAGAAGGCUUGAGGCAGGCGGAAUGCGUGGUGUAGCGGUGAAAUGCUUAGAUAUCACGCAGAACCCCGAUUGCGAAGGCAGCCUGCCAAGCCAUGACUGACGCUGAUGCACGAAAGCGUGGGGAUCAAACAGGAUUAGAUACCCUUGUAGUC
Molecule: ribosomal RNA, 460 nt
Filed under: uncultured bacterium
Lineage: Bacteria
Description: partial 16S ribosomal RNA
Rfam family: Bacterial small subunit ribosomal RNA
Source: RNAcentral